RNAcentral lists this ribosomal RNA (487 nucleotides) under uncultured bacterium. Its description in RNAcentral is "bacterial SSU rRNA". It matches the Rfam family "Bacterial small subunit ribosomal RNA", at positions 501 to 987 of the family's 1533-position model. The record is from RNAcentral.
CUACGUGCCAGCAGCCGCGGUAAUACGUAGGUGGCAAGCGUUGUCCGGAAUUAUUGGGCGUAAAGCGCGCGCAGGCGGAUCAGUUAGUCUGUCUUAAAAGUUCGGGGCUUAACCCCGUGAUGGGAUGGAAACUGCUGAUCUAGAGUAUCGGAGAGGAAAGUGGAAUUCCUAGUGUAGCGGUGAAAUGCGUAGAUAUUAGGAAGAACACCAGUGGCGAAGGCGACUUUCUGGACGAAAACUGACGCUGAGGUGCGAAAGCCAGGGGAGCGAACGGGAUUAGAUACCCCGGUAGUCCUGGCCGUAAACGAUGGGUACUAGGUGUAGGAGGUAUCGACCCCUUCUGUGCCGGAGUUAACGCAAUAAGUACCCCGCCUGGGGAGUACGACCGCAAGGUUGAAACUCAAAGGAAUUGACGGGGGCCCGCACAAGCGGAGGAACAUGUGGUUUAAUUCGACGCAACGCGAAGAACCUUACCAGGUCUUGACAU